AUACUUACCUGGCAGGGGAGAUACUAUGAUCAAGGGCGAGGGUUAUCCAUUGCACACCGGAUGUGCUGACUCCUGCAAUUUCCCCAAAUGCGGGAAACUCGACUGCAUAAUUUGUGGUAGUGGGGACUGUGUUCACGCUCUCCCCUG
Molecule: small nuclear RNA, 147 nt
Organism: Pteropus vampyrus (large flying fox)
Lineage: Eukaryota; Metazoa; Chordata; Mammalia; Chiroptera; Pteropodidae
Gene: U1
Rfam family: U1 spliceosomal RNA
About the family: U1 is a small nuclear RNA (snRNA) component of the spliceosome (involved in pre-mRNA splicing). Its 5' end forms complementary base pairs with the 5' splice junction, thus defining the 5' donor site of an intron.
Source: Ensembl